RNAcentral lists this long non-coding RNA (1074 nucleotides) under Anser cygnoides (Swan goose). RNAcentral describes it as "lncRNA (ENSACDG00005011601.1)". The record is from RNAcentral. Lineage: Eukaryota; Metazoa; Chordata; Aves; Anseriformes; Anatidae.
GAGCAGGGACCGCGUCCUGACCUACCCUGCGCUCCCGACAGCGUGCUCAGGGCAUGUUCCUGGGGGAAAAGACACCGGAGGCUGUUCGGGGUGCGCAGCCCGGGGUCUGCCUGGUGCCUGCAGCAGAGGCAGAGGCAGUGCCAGAGGCAGCAGCAGCGGCAGAAGCAGCAGCAGAGGCAGCAGUGGCUGCAGCCUCCUGGCCCGCAGCAGCAGGCAGCGACGUCUGCCAGAGCCCAAAGCCAGGAGCCAUGGGCUGCUGCUAGGUGCGGUGCUGCGCUGUCCCUGGUGUGGGAGGCUUCUGCCUUGUCAAACCUGGCAGGGACUGACUCAGCGGUGCCAAACAAUGCGCUGCGCUCAGCUGCACCCUGCCCAGGAUCAGCGCGAAGAUGCGCCCGCUCGGCCCCGGCCCCGUUGGCGGCGAGGGGCGUAGCCCUGCAGGCACCUCCAGCCCCGUUCCCCGCCAAGCUGCUGGGACACGUCCGGGGCUGGCGAGGAGCCCGUGCUCUUCGGCGAGGGCUCAGACACGGGGAGCCAGGCAGGGCUCCCUGGUUCGUUCCUAGCAGGCUCGCGUCCCGUCACCGAACGUUUUCACCGUGGAAGGAGAUGCCUCGGAAGGUCCCGGAGGAGCAGAGAAUGGGCGGCCCCGGUGAGGCCCCCGCAGGUGGAUGGAAAUCGGGCACGAAGCUCGCCCUGCUCGCCGUCCUCCCACACCUCCACGGUGAGCGGCUGGAGGAGUCUCCUCUCCCCAGCCCAGGGGUGCCGCAGACGUGGCAGGAGCAAGGUGACCCAGCGGAGGGACGCAGGUCCCCUCCCGACCCACCCCCAAAUCACCAAGCUGGAGCCGGGCUUGGGCUGAAAUCAGAAAGCUCCGGCCCGCAACGAGCCACCCGUUGCCAUUGCUCGGAAAACACACGGGGCUCCCCGGCACGUUAUCAGGGUGACAUUCCUCCGGGGCUCCCGGUGCCAGCCCUUCGCUUUGAGGAACCGCCGGAGCCAGGCUGCUUUGCCUAUUUUUUUGGCUGCCGGGAAGAGAGCAGGAGACUGCGAUCGCCCUCCUCGGGAUUAGGUCGCUAA